This 5511-nucleotide long non-coding RNA is filed under the name Corvus moneduloides (New Caledonian crow). RNAcentral's name for it is "lncRNA (ENSCMUG00000019498.1)". The record is from RNAcentral. Lineage: Eukaryota; Metazoa; Chordata; Aves; Passeriformes; Corvidae.
GGCCGCCGGCGGCGCGGGAGAGGCGGGCCCGGGCCGCGCCAGCGCUGCCGCUCCGCCCGCCGCGGCCCCGGCGCCGCCGGGCGAUGCCCGAGCGUUGCCACGGCAACCGCGCCCCCCCCUCCGCGCCGCUCGGCCCCACGUGACCCGCGGCGGCGCUCGCGGCCAACCCGCCUGUUACCAGGGCGGGGGCGUGCAGGGGGGGUGCUCUUGUUUCCCAUUGGCUGCUGCCGGAGCUCGCUGAUUGGCGGGGGGCGGCCGGGCGGCGCGCCGAUUGGAUGGGCCCGGAGGUGAGGUUGUGGGGUGAUGCCGGCCGCCCCGCGCAGCGCCGGGACACAGACAAAGGCUGCCCAAAGGCUGCCCAAAGGCUGCCCGACCUCUCCCCGCGACCCGGGGCUGGCGCGGCGCGGGACGGCAGCGGGGGAGCUCUCGGCGCGCUGCUGGGAGGCGGCUACGCGAGCCUGGCCGAGCGCCCGGGGGCCCUGCGCCCUCCCCGCCCGGCCGCCCGCUCCUACUGGCGCUGGGGCACGCGGCGUGCGGGGGGGCGGAGCCGGUGUCACGCUCGCCGCGCGCCCGGCAGCCAAUGGGCGGGCCGGGAGAACGCGGGCAGCACGCGGGGCCCGCGUGUCCCCGCGCAAGGGCUGUCAAUCACCUGUCAGUCACUCGCCCCGCCCCGGCGCGGCCCGGGGGGAGGGCCCGCAGCGCUGCUCUGUCACGGUGCCCCUCGCUGCGAUCCCCGCCCGGGGCGGGACCGGCGCUCGGCAGCGUUCCGUGGCCGCCGUUGCUUUGUCCCAGGGUUGGGGUGCGAGGCAGCCGCCGCCGCACUGCAGCGGCUCCCCUGGGGACUCAGCCCCGCAGUUUCUGCCGCCAGCACCAACCCGCGCGGCCCGGGCCUCUCGGGAUGCCCGCGGUGCGGGCUGUGCUCCCGGCGCCCUCCCCCGGCGGGGGGCGAGAGGCGGAGCCGGCGCGGCGGCCGCCCGCCGCCUUUAUCUGGCGUGGCGGCGCGGGGGGUGGCACUGGGGAACACCUUUUUGUAAGAUACGCGCUAUAAAUACGGCGCCGGGGAUGGGAGCGCGGCCACGGGCGGCGGGAAACAGCUCCGGAUUACGGACUCUGAUCGUGAGCAGCCGCCGAGCCCAACCCGCGGCGGAGGGCGGCCGGUGCCGCUAGCGCGGAGGAGGAGGAAGAGGUCGCCGCCGGAGGAGCCCCGCGGUCCGGUCCCAGCCGCCUCGCUGAGCACGCCUGCCCGGCCGCCAACAUGAUGCAGAUCUGCGACUCGUACAGCCAGAAGUACUCCCUCUUCAACGCCAUGAAUCGCUUCAUCGGCGCCGUCAAUAACAUGGACCAGACGGUGAUGGUGCCCAGCCUGCUGCGCGACGUGCCGCUGCUGCUGGAGGAACUGGACGCGGCGGGCGCCGUGUGCCCGCCCCGGGAUGCUGCCCUGCCGCCCGGCGACCCCGGCGCCUACUUCUCCCGCAGGGACAUGUACAGCCACUACAUGCUGCUCAAGUCCAUCCGCAACGACAUCGAGUGGGGCGUGGUGCAGCCGGCGGCGGGCGAGGAGGCCGCCCGCAAGAAGGACAAGCUGGGCGGCGGGCCCGCCGAGGAUGGCGAGGGGGAGGAGGACCUGGAGCAGCAGUUCCAUUACCACCUCAGCGGACUCCACUCGGUCCUCUCCAAGCUCACCCGCAAGGCCAACGUCCUUACCAACAGAUACAAGCAGGAGAUCGGCGUCAGCAGCUGGGGGCAGUGAGCGCCGGGGGGGAGCGGGGCGAGGGGCUCGCUGCCCGGCGCUGCCGCUGCUGCUUCGGUGGCCGAGGGCAGCGCCCCGGGCCGAGGCUUCCGUGCGCGCUCCCAGGACUGCAGCAGGUUUUCUAUCAACGCACAAGCGAGAAAGAGAUGUAAAUUAAUCAGUACUAGUUUAUUAAUUAUUUUGACCCCCCCCGUGUUUUUUUCAUUGUACGGUUCGGGGCGAGCGGUCGCUGUUCCCGCCUGGGUGGGGACGCUGAACCCCUACGUGUACGAGGUGGUGGCAUUGCUGGCUGAGAAGGAGGCUCUGCUGAAGCCGAUGAACAUAACGAAACUAGCACAAAAUUGCUUCUGUUACCCCGGAGGGAACCCAGUGAGCUAAGGAGCAUCCCUCUGUUGUGGGAGAGAUGGCGAGUCCCACGGUUGUACAUGUACUGGAGUUUAUUUAAAACUUUUUUACUCAGAUGUAGAGUAUAUUCUAAAAUAAAUGCAAAUGUAUUAACUAAGAGUGACCUAAACUUUUGGUAUGAUUUAUCUUUCUUUAAUUAAAUGAUAUUUUUAACAUCUGGAAUUCUUCUGUUUUUCUUCUAUGUUACAGUCAGAGCUGCCUUACUAGAUAGGAAGUCUGCGUGUGCAAGAGAGGGGCUUUUGUGGCCUUUUUUUUCCCCAUCAAAGGGAGCAAUUAGGCAGUGAUGAGAUAACUUGGCAUAUCUAAACUGUUUGAACGACCAUACUAAAUUUAACCAUUUGAGUUUUGGUAAGCUGUUCCCAGCUGCACAGUGCAGUUGCUCUAUGUGAGUGUUGGCUUGAAGGUCAGUGCCUCUUUAACAAAAUCUGAGAAGAGUGAGUCAUGGUUACUCUGCAGGCAGCGAUUCAUGGAAGUUGGAGCAAAGCCUAGGAAUGACUCUUGCUUUUUUUGGGAAGUAUCUUAAUGUACUGUGGGGACCUCUUUUCUCUCCCUCCGAAUAGGUCUGGCAGACUUGCCUCCCCAGUCUCUUGCAUUUCUUUCCUUUAAUCCUCCUUGGAUACCAUGAAUUAAUCGGUUUUGUGUUAUCCAGAUUGUAUUGAUUUCUUUCUCUCUACUUUUUUUCCCAUUUGUUGAAGUAAAGUACCUCGGAAUUGGAUGUCUAUAUUGUGUUCUAAUAUUAAGUUCUGAUAUUAAAGUGCACUUACUGAUUGUGAUACAAUAUAUAACAGAGGAUAAAUGUUUAAUAAAUAUGUGAGUCCUUACAUAAUGUAAGUUUUCUUCUCAGGCACUGGGAUGCCAAGUCUGUAGACAUUUUAUACUGAGAUUUCACUUUGUAUUAUUGUCAUCAAAUAUAGGGCUUGUUUAGUGGUGUUGGUUUGGGGGUUUUUUUCUCUUAAAAAUAGAAUAAUUUUUCUCUUCAAUGAUAUUUUUGUUUAAAUUGAAAUAUUCCCUAGCACUUUAUUUUUCAGCCCAACUGUUAGGACAUUGUAGUAAAGCAUGAGCACUCCAGACAUGGAGUAGGCAGACAUUUGUGUAAGUUAAAAUUAUCAGCCUACAUCUAUGCUUAAAAAUACGUAUUUUAGAAGGUUUUUCUCUUCUGGGGUAAACAAGAACUUUGUAAGGCUGGAUAAUUUUUAGUUUGGCGAUGCUUGUUCUUUUCAUAAUGUUUUUAACUCCUCUUCCCCUCCCCUCUUGGGAAAAUGCCAGGAAAAAAAGUCAGGAACAGGGAAAGGGAUUACCCUGGUUUCCUAACAUGGCUUGCCAGUCUUUCCACAGUCAGACUAAUGCAAUGCAAAAGAUGUGGUGCCCUGUGCUGGAUGGUAAAGUUUUGUUCUGAAGUCAAGGGUGAGAGGGAGAACCUGUUCUGCUGUGUGGCUCCCUUCUGGCCUUGCACUCCAUCAGCUGGAAACCACAUUACAGCCUCUGCUGGGGAACGCCGGCGAAACCUCAGACAAAAGCACCUCAUGUAGUUUCACCCGUGUGCCUUUUGAUCUCCUGGUAACUUCUCCUGGUAUGGGUUUAGACAAUACUGUUUAAAUGUUGCACAAGAGACAGUGUGAUGCUGAUUUAGACUAUGAGUAAUGUCACAAAAAUAGUGUUACAUUAGUGCAGCACAGCCAUGAGUAUUGCAUCCAUUACCUUUGCAUUCUAAAAAAAAACGAGAAAAGUUUCGGUGGAAGAGCAGCUGAAAUCUAGUGCAUUUCCUUACCAGUAAAGCUUUGGGUAACAGGACAAGGAGGAUUCUGUGAUUCAAGGGUUUGCCUUGCCUCUCUCUGUGACUAAGCUGCAGUUGCUGAACUGCACGUGGCUCCCAUGUGGGGGCCCAGCUGCUGGGCUGGCAGCAGCCCUGAUAAUCCCAACUCAGCCAUGCAAAACCUGCAGAGAGUCACACCAGCUGAAGAGACUCCACCACCUCCCACCUGGGAGCUGCUUUAGAGUUUCCCCUUCUCAAGGUCAUGGGAGAGGAUUGAGGCUCUCGGGAUCAAGAAAGUGAUCUCUUAAUGCAGGGUGAAGGCAACAAGAGAUAAAACCAGGGAUGUAUUGCUCAUGCAAAGGACAAGGGAUGAGACUUUGCUGCUGGCUGUUGUGUAAAACAACUUGGCCUAAAAGGUGGGGUGGUCAGGCAAUUACAUGAAUGCUGACUCCUAGCAUUGCAGUAAGCAAGGACGAGAUUGCAGUCUUAAUGCAGAUUUUGUGUGUUAGAUGCUGAAUUGGAAAAAAUUUCCAUGAGCAGCACUCAAAUAUACAUCAAUUAGGUUUAUUAUUAAGGAAUUAUGUUUCCUUUUGAAGGACUGAAUCACUUUAAGUCUCCCAAUUAUAUACAGAGUUCAGCAAACCUUUAGGCUGCUCUGGUAAAGUGAUUCUGGUGCUUGUAAGUGUUAAUGAUGAAUUACAUCGGUCUAAUGUAAAAAGUGUCUUUAUGAUCUCAAAUACUUUGGGAAGUGACUUAGUUUCUUAGCCACACACAGGCAAAAAGACAACUUGCCAAGCUACCACAUCUGUGCUCAAACCAGGGGAUAUCCACAUGCACUGUGAGAAGCAGUUGUCAUUUCUAGCUCACUUAAGUGAAAUAGACUCCAUAUAGAGUAAGGCAGACAUUAGAAGAGCAAUAAAUAAUGAGAUUCAGAACUGUUUGCACUAACAAAUUGAUUACAGCAGAAGGUAUCUUACAGCCAAGGAGCCUCAAGAACAUUGCUCAUGGCAUGCAUCACUUAAUAUAUAAAAGUGCACAGUAUCUGUCAUUAUAGUUCAUGAGUCAACUCUUGUUUUUAUGUUUACAAAACGAGGACAAAUGAGGGGAAAUCCAUGCUUUUUUCUCUCUCUCUGUGUAUAAAAAUAAGGGCCUUGGGGAUGGGUGUGGCUUCCAUGGGAAGAACAAGAAUCGUGGGCUGAUCAGUGCUUGGUGGAAGCAGAUGAGGCUGAGUCAGGCUACGCUGUCACCUUCCUACUUUCCCUCUGAAAGCUCUUCCUUGCAGAGGGUUCUAACUACGUCAAGAUACGUGUGUUAAGUGGUUUGUGUCCUCCCCCCCUGCACAGGCUCUUGCACCAAGACAACAUGAGUCAUCAGCAGAUUGGCUUUGCUGAAAUAUGCACUAGUGUUAGUGGUCAGAGGGGAGGUUGUGUUAGGAUCUUAUUUUCCUGUACGUAAGCUCUGCACCCUGUUCUACCGGAAAAAAAAAGUAAUAAAGCAUCUCCUUUCUAUGCCUCUGGAUUUGGUACAGAGCUAAUCUCUUUGUGGAAAACUCUGCAGCAAUUUUCCCUCACUGACUUAUUUCCCUGAAGUCUUGAGUAUGGGA